This 294-nucleotide long non-coding RNA is filed under the name Elaeis guineensis (African oil palm). Its description in RNAcentral is "long non-coding RNA (EGUI_LNC054652)". The record is from RNAcentral. Lineage: Eukaryota; Viridiplantae; Streptophyta; Magnoliopsida; Arecales; Arecaceae.
UCCCGAACUCUAGGUAGAAACCCUAGGGUACACACCAAAAACCCUGCAUCCAAUUUUCUCUCUUUUCUUUCUUUUUCUCUCGAAAGGUUUUGGACCUUCACCUUGCGCAGAAGCCUUCCUCAUGCCCCAAAGUUUUUCUCCUAUAAUUUCUAUGCACGUCCCACCUUUCUCCUCUUUUUAAAACAACAUCGAACGUGUCUUAUCCACGUGAGAGGAUAAAGACAAGAGGUUACACAUUUGAAUUCAAAUCAAAUUUGAAUUCAAACAAAAACCAACUUAUCCCUAUCCUUUUGG